RNAcentral lists this ribosomal RNA (245 nucleotides) under uncultured Bacillota bacterium. RNAcentral's name for it is "uncultured Firmicutes bacterium partial 16S ribosomal RNA". It matches the Rfam family "Bacterial small subunit ribosomal RNA", at positions 524 to 768 of the family's 1533-position model. Lineage: Bacteria; Bacillati; Bacillota. The record is from RNAcentral.
UACGUAUGGGGCGAGCGUUGUUCGGAAUUAUUGGGCGUAAAGGGCGCUCAGGCGGGGAGUUAAGUUAGAUGUGAAAGCCAUGGGCUCAACCCGUGAAAUGCAUCUAAAACUGAUUCUCUUGAGUUCGAGAGAGGAGAGCGGAAUUCCCGGUGUAGCGGUGAAAUGCGUAGAUAUCGGGAAGAACACCAGUGGCGAAGGCGGCUCUCUGGCUUAGAACUGACGCUGAAGCGCGAAAGCGUGGGUAG